Molecule: ribosomal RNA, 522 nt
Filed under: Dasytes plumbeus
Lineage: Eukaryota; Metazoa; Arthropoda; Insecta; Coleoptera; Melyridae
Description: partial 16S ribosomal RNA
Rfam family: Bacterial large subunit ribosomal RNA (bases 386-522)
Source: RNAcentral
CAUGUCUUUUUGAAUAUAAUAAAAAGUCUAAUCUGCCCACUGAGGAAUUUAAAUGGCCGCAGUAUUUUGACUGUGCUAAGGUAGCAUAAUCAAUAGUUUCUUAAUUAGAAGCUGGAAUGAAUGAUUGGAUGAGAUAAAAACUGUCUCAAUUUUAAUAAUUAAAAUUUUAUUUUUAAGUAAAAAAGCUUAAAUAUUUUUAAAAGACGAGAAGACCCUAUAGAGUUUUAUAUUUUAAAUUAAAUUAAAUUAAUAUUUUAAUAUUUUAUUUAUUUUAAAGUAUUUUGUUGGGGUGAUAGAAAAAUUUAAUCAACUUUUUUUAUAUAAAACCAUAAAUUUAUGAAUAAAUGAUCCAUUAUUUAUGAUUAAAAGAUUAAAUUACCUUAGGGAUAACAGCGUAAUUUUUUUUAAGAGUUCUAAUCGAAAAAGAAGAUUGCGACCUCGAUGUUGGAUUAAAGUUAAGUUUUGGUGUAGAAGCUAAAAUUUUAAGUCUGUUCGACUUUUAAAACUUUACAUGAUCUGAGU